This 809-nucleotide ribosomal RNA is filed under the name uncultured archaeon. RNAcentral describes it as "bacterial SSU rRNA". It matches the Rfam family "Archaeal small subunit ribosomal RNA", at positions 85 to 879 of the family's 1478-position model. The record is from RNAcentral.
ACGGCUCAGUAACACGUGGCUAACCUGCCCUUGGGACGAGAACAACCCCGGGAAACUGGGGAUAAUCCUCGAUAGGUGAAGAACUCUGGAAUGAGUCUUUGCUUAAAAGGCGUUGGAUCAUGCUUUCAGCGUCGCCCAAGGAUGGGGCCGCGACCGAUCAGGUUGUUGGUGAGGUAAUGGCCCACCAAGCCUUUUACCGGUGCGGGCCGUGAGAGCGGGAGCCCGGAGAUGGGCACUGAGACAAGGGCCCAGGUCCUACGGGGCGCAGCAGUCGCGAAAACUUUGCAAUACACGAAAGUGUGACAGGGUCAUCCCGAGUGCCGACCGCUGAGGUUGGCUUUUACCCAGUCUAGAAAGCUGGGGGAAUAAGGAGAGGGCAAGUCUGGUGUCAGCCGCCGCGGUAAUACCAGCUCUCCGAGUGGUGUGGACGUUUAUUGGGCCUAAAGCAUUCGUAGCUGGCGGAACAAGUCCCCCGUUAAACCCACCGAUUUAAUCGUUGGUCUGCGGGGGAUACUGCUCGGCUAGGGGACGAGAGAGGCAGACGGUAUUCCCGGGGUAGGGGUGAAAUCCUAUAAUCCCGAGAAGACCACCAGUGGCGAAGGCUGUCUGCUAGAACGCGCCCGACGGUGAGGGAUGAAAGCUGGGGGAGCGAACCGGAUUAGAUACCCGGGUAGUCCCAGCUGUAAACGAUGCAGACUAGGUGUUUGGACGGCCACGUGCCGUUCUAGUGCCGCAGGGAAGCUGUUAAGUCUGCCGCCUGGGGAGUACGAUCGCAAGAUUGAAACUUAAAGGAAUUGGCGGGGGAGCAC